RNAcentral lists this long non-coding RNA (1376 nucleotides) under Homo sapiens (human). Its description in RNAcentral is "PREDICTED lncRNA (TCONS_00027005)". The record is from RNAcentral. Lineage: Eukaryota; Metazoa; Chordata; Mammalia; Primates; Hominidae.
ACAUAGGUCCCCAGAGAAUUUCAAUAUGUCUGAUGUCAAGAACGGAAAGUGAGACAGCCAGGUGGGAGGGGGUCCCUGGAGAAUCUCCAACCAGCCUGCGCACUGGGAAUGCGCACUGGAGUGAAAAUACAGAAGUUGGUGCCCUUUGCAGCAGCCAGGAGUCCGACUCCUCCUCUUCCUGUGUGGAACCUGGAAUUCAAACGGCUGGGGCCUCACUCACGGCAUAUGGAACUAACCACGCCCCUAACUAAGAAGGCACACCUUAGUUGCAGUUAGCACACAAUUAAAGCAACUCUCCAAGUUUUACCUUAAAGUUCAAAAUUGCUAGGAGUUGAAACUACUAGAAAUAUAUUUACAUGCAAGAGUCAAAGAAACUUUGAACUAUUUAUGGCCUUUAAUAAUUAAGUAAGGUAUACUCCUGUGAUCAAGACUUGGAGCAUAUUUGUUUCUCUCUGCCUGGUUCCUCUAGAAAUUGGAAACUAUCAGAACAGAGACCAACUCCGUUUCCCGAUCCCUUUGCAAUCUGCAUUGAACCAUGAGUCAAGUUCUUGAUAAAGGAGUGAAAAUGGAUGACAUUUAAGGCACAUCUGAAGAUGGGGAAACCACAGCACAGAAUAAGGCUGGGCCCUUGAAUCAAUAAAUGAAGGAGAACUACUCAAGAGAACAAAACCACCAGCAAUAUCCACCUGUAUUUGUCUUUUCAUAAUGUGUGACACAUGUGCUCAUGGAUUAUUGUCCGAAGCAAGACAUGUGACCAAGCCUAACAUCAACUGGGUGAAGAGCUAUAUGUUCCUUUCUCAAGAGGCACUACAAGUGACAUGCCACUGGGCAGCACUGUUCACAUUAUGUAAGUGAUAAAAUUGACCUAAAUAUCCAUCAAUGGACAAAUAGAUCAAGAAAACAUGAUAAACAUACACAGUGGAAUACUAUACAGCUACAAAAAGAAUGACCUUCUGUCAUUUGUGACAACGUGGAUAAACCUGCAGGACAUUCUGUUAAGUGAAAUCAACCAGGUACAGAAAAACAAAUAUUGCAUGAGCUCACUCAUAUGUGGAAUCUAAAGUAAUUUUACUCAUUGACCAACCUCUUUCCAUCCCCCAUCCCCUUUUCUCUCCUCAACCUCUGGUAACUGCUGUUCUACUCUUUAUUUCUAUGAGACCACAGUUACAGUUAGAUAGGAAGAAUAAAUUCUGGUGUUCUAUUACAUAGCAGAGUGACUACAGCUAAAAAUAGUGUAUUAUAUAUUUCAAUAUAGCUAGAGAAGAAGAUCUUGAAUGUUAUCACCACAAAGAAAUGAUAAUGCUGUGGUAAUGGGUAUGUUAAUUAUCCUGAUAUGAUCAUUAAACAAUGCAUAUAUCUAUUGAAACAUCACAGUA